AUGCAGUCGAGCGGUAGAGAGGAGCUUGCUUCUCUUGAGAGCGGCGGACGGGUGAGUAAUGCCUAGGAAUCUGCCUAGUGGUGGGGGAUAACGUUCGGAAACGGACGCUAAUACCGCAUACGUCCUACGGGAGAAAGCGGGGGACCUUCGGGCCUCGCGCCAUUAGAUGAGCCUAGGUCGGAUUAGCUAGUUGGUGAGGUAACGGCUCACCAAGGCGACGAUCCGUAACUGGUCUGAGAGGAUGAUCAGUCACACUGGAACUGAGACACGGUCCAGACUCCUACGGGAGGCAGCAGUGGGGAAUAUUGGACAAUGGGCGAAAGCCUGAUCCAGCCAUGCCGCGUGUGUGAAGAAGGUCUUCGGAUUGUAAAGCACUUUAAGUUGGGAGGAAGGGUAGUAACUUAAUACGUUGCUAUUUUGACGUUACCGACAGAAUAAGCACCGGCUAACUCUGUGCCAGCAGCCGCGGUAAUACAGAGGGUGCAAGCGUUAAUCGGAAUUACUGGGCGUAAAGCGCGCGUAGGUGGUUUGUUAAGUUGGAUGUGAAAGCCCCGGGCUCAACCUGGGAACUGCAUCCAAAACUGGCAAGCUAGAGUACGGUAGAGGGUGGUGGAAUUUCCUGUGUAGCGGUGAAAUGCGUAGAUAUAGGAAGGAACACCAGUGGCGAAGGCGACCACCUGGACUGAUACUGACACUGAGGUGCGAAAGCGUGGGGAGCAAACAGGAUUAGAUACCCUGGUAGUCCACGCCGUAAACGAUGUCAACUAGCCGUUGGGAGUCUUGAACUCUUAGUGGCGCAGCUAACGCAUUAAGUUGACCGCCUGGGGAGUACGGCCGCAAGGUUAAAACUCAA
This 853-nucleotide ribosomal RNA is filed under the name Pseudomonas cuatrocienegasensis. RNAcentral describes it as "bacterial SSU rRNA". It matches the Rfam family "Bacterial small subunit ribosomal RNA", at positions 55 to 904 of the family's 1533-position model. Lineage: Bacteria; Pseudomonadati; Pseudomonadota; Gammaproteobacteria; Pseudomonadales; Pseudomonadaceae. The record is from RNAcentral.